GACCGCUUCAGUUGAGUUGGUCUUCCGCCUUGUAAAGUUAUGAGUCUGUGAGGGUCGUCCGACAGACUGAGGGUUGUUCGUUUGUUGGAUAUGGACGAGAAUGACAGAUUUUUUUUAUUGCUUGGAGGAUUGGGAUGGUGGCGGUUCUCUGUGGAUGUAUGUCAACUCUCGCACAAUUUCUAGACAUUCUUAAUGUUAACCGAGGCUCAUCAGUAUCCCUUGAGAGAGAUAUGUGAUUCUUUUGACAAAACUUGGGUUUCCAUGCUCGACGUUGUACAAGCUGACCAUUAAUUUGUUUCGACUCUGUUUCAUUUCUCGCAAAGAUUUGAGAGCACCUUAUGCCAGACUCUUAUUAGUUAGCAAAGACGACAAAUUAGGGUUUAUCCUGACAAACAUCAACCCUUGAGAUAAUUGCUUCCGCCUCAUUUUCUUGGAUCUGAUUGGUUCAUGUCGUGUAAAUGCGCUUCUUAGAAUUUGAGGUUAAUGUGCACUCAAAAUGAACACAACUGCUAGUCUGAAUGUGUUGGAACGCGGAGGGUUUUUGGUAUACGCAGGAAGUACUCAGAACAAAGGGUUGGAUUGAUGAACUGGCAUGGUUAAAACUGGAGCACUUUGUGUCAACGAAUUGAAACCAGGAAACCCGAGAUUUGGAAUUGCCUUUUGCUUAGGUCUUAGCUGGUUGGUUUCAAGUCUAUAAUUGGAAACGGACUUUUGGAUACUGAAAAGUCAUCGAGGAGCAUUGGUGGUAUUUGUAAAUGUGUCUACAGGUAUGGAGUAAUGCAGCUAUUGGCUACCCUUGUGUGGUUAGAAGAGCAGCAUUCUGCAGCAGGAGUUUGAGAUGCAAAAACUGAAAGAGAAAGUUCUCAUGCAGAGAAAUUUAUGUGAAAAUGAGAUUGGAUCUGAAAAAUAUGUUCCCAGCCUACUUGCAACGUGCAAAGGACAGUACGUGCAAUGUUCCAAGUCUAACAAUGACAACAACCAAAUCUUAUACUGAAAUAGGUCACAAGCCAGUGCAACACAGAUUCACGUUCUCUCUACAGUUUGAAUGAAACGUCAAUCCAGAUCGGCAAUGCUGCAGCGAUCCAAUGGCAACUGGUUUAAAUUUUUUUUCUCUUGCAAUUGGAGGUUUUCAUCUUUUUGCAGAGAGUUGUAUAGAACUCCUGUAAAUAGAUUUGGUGUCGCUCAAGCGAUGAUGGACGUAAAAUAGGUUGAAGAUGCUGUCUCUAGUAUCCUGAUGAUAAAUUGGUUAUGUAAUUCAGUUGGGUGAACCGCUCGAUGAAAGAAGAAAAUAUUGUAGAAUCUUAGGGCAGAUUUGAUGUCGAGUUUGCACUCACAAGCUAGUUCCGGGAAUCACAGGUUCAUGUCGUGGUGGUAUGGUUUAAACUUUCGCCUUUCGCUUGGAUGAUUCUGGCUCAGUCCCCAGCCACUGCGCCGCUUCUUCUUUGUCUACCUACCCCAUUUCUGGAUAGUAUGAUGUUUGGACAUUGCAUGAAGAUAUCGCAGGGAUUUCAAGUUGUGAAGAGAGAGAACAUCUCAAUUGCUUAGUCUAAGGUGGUGGAACUUAUCUGUUCCAGUAUGUAUUUGAAUAGGGGCACAAAGUUUUAUUUCCUUUGCGUCGUAAUGAUAUCUUCAUUUUAACGUAA
Molecule: non-coding RNA, 1643 nt
Organism: Physcomitrium patens
Lineage: Eukaryota; Viridiplantae; Streptophyta; Bryopsida; Funariales; Funariaceae
Source: RefSeq, a predicted model, not a curated record